This 421-nucleotide ribosomal RNA is filed under the name Priestia megaterium. Its description in RNAcentral is "bacterial SSU rRNA". It matches the Rfam family "Bacterial small subunit ribosomal RNA", at positions 121 to 528 of the family's 1533-position model. The record is from RNAcentral. Lineage: Bacteria; Bacillati; Bacillota; Bacilli; Caryophanales; Bacillaceae.
GCAACCUGCCUGUAAGACUGGGAUAACUUCGGGAAACCGAAGCUAAUACCGGAUAGGAUCUUCUCCUUCAUGGGAGAUGAUUGAAAGAUGGUUUCGGCUAUCACUUACAGAUGGGCCCGCGGUGCAUUAGCUAGUUGGUGAGGUAACGGCUCACCAAGGCAACGAUGCAUAGCCGACCUGAGAGGGUGAUCGGCCACACUGGGACUGAGACACGGCCCAGACUCCUACGGGAGGCAGCAGUAGGGAAUCUUCCGCAAUGGACGAAAGUCUGACGGAGCAACGCCGCGUGAGUGAUGAAGGCUUUCGGGUCGUAAAACUCUGUUGUUAGGGAAGAACAAGUACGAGAGUAACUGCUCGUACCUUGACGGUACCUAACCAGAAAGCCACGGCUAACUACGUGCCAGCAGCCGCGGUAAUACGU